CAAUCAAACAGACUCUCCCAAGCCUGUAGCAACAACAACACCAACCAGUCAAGCUUCCUUGCUUCCAUCUACCCAGGGCAGCAGCAGCCAGCCCAUGUUUUUGACUAACCCGCUAACCAGGAGCAUGGAGAACGUGCGCUUUUCUGAUUGAUGGACUCCUGGGUCUUCUUCAGCUCUGAUCCAGUGGUUUCAACAAAGAUGGUACAGCCAUUUGAAUCAGCAUCUUGACACGCAUCCAGCGCAGGGGAAAUGAUGUCAAGACCCUCCACAGGCCUCUCCCUAGUCUACAAUAAGAGCCCAGACAAAAUACGUGGCGCGAAUCUCUGAGCAUUCCGCAAAACGAACCAUAACAAGAAGGAAAGAAA
Molecule: long non-coding RNA, 365 nt
Organism: Suricata suricatta (meerkat)
Lineage: Eukaryota; Metazoa; Chordata; Mammalia; Carnivora; Herpestidae
Exons: 3
Source: RefSeq, a predicted model, not a curated record